RNAcentral lists this ribosomal RNA (311 nucleotides) under uncultured Comamonadaceae bacterium. Its description in RNAcentral is "bacterial SSU rRNA". It matches the Rfam family "Bacterial small subunit ribosomal RNA", at positions 1 to 320 of the family's 1533-position model. The record is from RNAcentral. Lineage: Bacteria; Pseudomonadati; Pseudomonadota; Betaproteobacteria; Burkholderiales; Comamonadaceae.
CAUGGAGUUUGAUCCUGGCUCAGAUUGAACGCUGGCGGAAUGCUUUACACAUGCAAGUCGAACGGUAGAGGGGGCAACCCCUCGAGAGUGGCGAACGGGUGAGUAAUAUAUCGGAACGUGCCCAGUCGUGGGGGAUAACGUAGUGAAAAUUACGCUAAUACCGCAUACGAUCUAAGGAUGAAAGCGGGGGUAUCGCAAGACCUCGCGCAAUUGGAGCGGCCGAUAUCAGAUUAGGUAGUUGGUGGGGUAAACGGCUCACCAAGCCAACGAUCUGUAGCUGGUCUGAGAGGACGACCAGCCACACUGGAACU